Molecule: ribosomal RNA, 467 nt
Filed under: uncultured bacterium
Lineage: Bacteria
Description: partial 16S ribosomal RNA
Rfam family: Bacterial small subunit ribosomal RNA
Source: RNAcentral
GACGAACGCUGGCGGCGUGCUUAACACAUGCAAGUCGAACGGAAGGGCCCUGCUUUUGUGGGGUGCUCGAGUGGCGAACGGGUGAGUAACACGUGAGUAACCUGCCCUUGACUUUGGGAUAACUUCAGGAAACUGGGGCUAAUACCGGAUAGGAGCUCCUGCUGCAUGGUGGGGGUUGGAAAGUUUCGGCGGUUGGGGAUGGACUCGCGGCUUAUCAGCUUGUUGGUGGGGUAGUGGCUUACCAAGGCUUUGACGGGUAGCCGGCCUGAGAGGGUGACCGGCCACAUUGGGACUGAGAGACGGCCCAGACUCCUACGGGAGGCAGCAGUGGGGAAUAUUGCACAAUGGGCGGAAGCCUGAUGCAGCAACGCCGCGUGCGGGAUGACGGCCUUCGGGUUGUAAACCGCUUUCGCCUGUGACGAAGCGUGAGUGACGGUAAUGGGGAAAGAAGCACCGGCUAACUACGU